RNAcentral lists this long non-coding RNA (3001 nucleotides) under Triticum aestivum (bread wheat). RNAcentral describes it as "long non-coding RNA (TAES_LNC027806)". The record is from RNAcentral. Lineage: Eukaryota; Viridiplantae; Streptophyta; Magnoliopsida; Poales; Poaceae.
AAUUUUAGGCGAGACGGCAGGGCUCACAAGCAUAGCUGUACCAUUCCUGAAUCUCACGUACACAGUUAAGAAAUAUUCUCCCGCUCGGAAAGUCAUUUUUGUGCACUUGUUUUCUAGCUAGCCGCUGCAUCCUUUAUAGCCGAGAGAGAUCGUUUUACUGCAUGAUGUUCAGGUGUAGCUACCAUUAGCCUUACUGGAGCAAAUCAACAUUUCACAGGAAUUUCAUCAUAAACAUCGGACCCACAUACACUCGAAAUAUAACAUUCUUCUCUGGAAUUUGAGUUUUUUUCAGAAGGUUAUGAUAAUAUUUAUUUGUUAUGAUAAUAUUUUGUCGCUUGUAUUUAAUCCUUGGGGAUUAGGAUCUUUCCCAUUCUGAGGAGUCCAAUUGAUACUUCCCAUUAUUUUUUAGAAAUCUAUCAUAUUAUUUUCUCUGGCUACGCUGCACCUAGCUACCACAUUUUAAGUAAUAUUAUGUCUUAACAUCUGAGGAGAGAGGGAAUGAACCAGGGUAUUCAUGUCUUAACAUGGAUGGGACCGAAACUUUCUAUUAUGCACUUGGAUUAUGUUUCUUUUGUUUUUAUUUUGCUAGCUCGUAACGUAUAUCAUUUAAUUUUCGGCUCUACCACAUGAUUUCAUACUAAUAUCUGGUUGUAAGCAUCUUUUAAUUUAAAAACGUGUUUCUGGGUAUACUUUGAUAUUGAUAUAAGAUUUAUUGCCAUCAGUUUACUUGGCACAGAUAAAAUAGUUCUCAAUUUUGUGCACAGUAGUAUACAAUCAUGUGGCACUCAACAAAACAAGGCGUAUCAUUUUUUAAAUUAUAUAUAGAACUGAAUCACAUUUAAAUCGUGUAAUGGCAGUGUGUUCGUAACCGAAGUUCUCCAGGGACAACGACGAAUUCAUUAGUGCACCGCGACAGCCGCCGUAUCCAUCGACUGUUGUUCGUGCUCGAAUCAGGGCGGGGCCAAUUGCCCAGAUUUCGCUCCCCAUGGUGCUCCCAAGUUGCAGCGACAACGCUUUUUGUCCAUCCACCCCUUUCUUUCCCCCACGUCCUACAAGGCUACAACGCACCCUUGGACUGUAUUCAUGUGGUAGUGCCUCAAGCUUACGUUAUGUGUGAGCGUUUGGUUCAUUGGUUGGUUUCCAGUUAUGCUUUGGGAGGCGAGAUUGGGUUCAGACGAGUUGAGCUACCUGUUCUAAUCACAGAGGCUGAACUGCGAGUUUCAGAGGGCAAUGUGCUAUGUAAUGGUGUGAUCUAUCUAUUUUUCUUUUCUUUCGAUGAUAGCAAUUUUUUGUUCAGGUGAAGGCUUUUGUUGAUGUCCCAAUGUGAAGGUACAACGCUGGCUCAUAUAUCUUCAUAUUUUAUCCUGUCUACAAAUCUCCCAGAUUUUAGUUUCCACUUGCUUUGAAUCAACGAAAGGAGACAUCCAAUAAUUUAGUUCCCCCUUCCCUUGUAGAGUUGAUGUUUCCUCUUCCUUUAAAGAGUUGAUGCACAAGAUUCAUCCUGGGCCAAAGUUUGUGGAAUAUUUUCCAAAAACCAGUAUAAACAAGAACCUAUUAUGAGAUUAUUCACAUGAUUUAUCAUAGGGAAGGUAUAGAUUUGGUGCUAGGCACAAGUGAAGAAAUAGAAAUAUUUUCCAUCUCCAUGACAUCUGUUUCUUUUUCCUUAUAAAGAACUUGUUUGUUUUCUAGAUUAUGGUUGUUCGGUUCAUUGUCCCUGCUCCCUGCACCCACAAAGGUCAGUGUUCAAGCAACAAUCUUUAGCUAAUAUACCUUUUGACAUUUGCAACCAUACCAAGAUUAAAUUAUAAAUGAUAUGUAUUUGUAGUAAAUUCGUGGCCCAAUAUUGCAGAUGCAGCUCACGAACAAAUUUAUUAUUCAAGCACGGUUAGAGAGCACCCUAUGAAUCGACUGCACCAUUUUGAGUUGCUUUAUUUACGAAGGCAUUCAUGCUUGAUCAUGUGGAAAAAAAUGUUGGCAUGCAGACCCGCAGGAGGCUAUAAGAAAAUUAUCUAAUGCCAUUGCAAAAUCUGAUAGAGAUUGGCUUGUCAGGAAGUGUUCUUGAACAAAGAGAUUAGCAUAAGGAAUUAUAACUGUGUUCUUUUUUUGCAGCAAACCAUUUUGAUAGGUAGUUCUGGUAAGGUAGUCUGUUUUAACAUUCUAUUGCUCAGACCACUCUCUCAUCCGCACUUAAAAAUCCAUAAUCUGCUCAUUCUAUUCAGAACAUAGUCUGUUUUAACAUUGUUUUGGGAAAGAGGCACGAAGCACACCAUGUAACCAUUACUGUUCGUGCUAAUUAGAAGAACGAGAAGAAGAGAUGUCUAAUAUCGUAUUAAAAUCUUGUGUGAUGUUUUAGAGGAUGGCGAAGGCGGUGCAGGGAGCUGACGGCCUGUCCGCGGUGAGGAGGUGAUGGAGAAACAACCCCACACUUGAUGGGUAGGUGCAGGGCGGGGAGGGUGCCGGCCAGGAAGGCGAUUUUGUACAUGAAUGGGUGUCUUUAAGAGUGGCUUCAAAGUCUAUAUUUGAGAUGACGGCUCUCGGCAGAAGGCGAGGGCCCGUCUAUUAGACGGAUGACCACGUGGUGGCCUUCUAUUCGUUAGCGUUUGCGGAGAGCAGGCUCUCGGCAAAGAUCAGUGAGUAGCUCAGACUUCAUAUGAAUAAUCAACUAAAAGAAUAGGUGAGUAGUUGAGACUUCAUAUAAAGAGCAAUAAUGUAAUAGGUAUCCAGGCAUUUUCUGUUUAUAUCAUGGAUGUAUCUUCGUUUCUGAUUUUUUGUUUUGGACAACUCAAACACCUUGUUUAAUACUUUCUUCGCGGACUAACUGUUGUUGAAACGAGUAUAUCUAGAUACACUUGUUACAACGAGAGUUAGUUCUGGACGGAGCUUGUAUUUACAAGCCUUUUUUGCCAACUGUUCAAAUAAGCUCUUAUUUUGUGUAAAUGGUCAAACAAUGCACUUCAAAUAAUUAAGUUGUUAUCCCAGAAAUAUUUUGGAAGAUGUUGUA